CCUACGGGGUGCAGCAGUAGGGAAUCUUUCACAAUGGGCGAAAGCCUGAUGGAGCAACGCCGCGUGCAGGAUGAAGGCCUUCGGGUUGUAAACUGCUUUUAUAAGCGAGAAAUAUGAUGGUAACUUAUGAAUAAGGAUCGGCUAACUACGUGCCAGCAGCCGCGGUCAUACGUAGGAUCCGAGCAUUAUCCGGAGUGACUGGGUGUAAAGAGUUGCGUAGGUGGCAUAAUAAGUAGCUAGUGAAAUCUGGUGGCUCAACCAUUCAGACUAUUAGCUAAACUGUUAAGCUCGAGACCGUUAGGGGUAACUGGAAUUUCUAGUGUAGGAGUGAAAUCCGUAGAUAUUAGAAGGAACACCAAUAGCGUAGGCAGGUUGCUGGGACGGGUCUGACACUAAGGCACGAAAGCGUAGGGAGCAAACGGGAUUAGAUACCCCAGUAGUC
This 442-nucleotide ribosomal RNA is filed under the name uncultured bacterium. RNAcentral describes it as "partial 16S ribosomal RNA". It matches the Rfam family "Bacterial small subunit ribosomal RNA", at positions 338 to 795 of the family's 1533-position model. The record is from RNAcentral.